GAUUAAGUUAUUAAGGGCGCACGGUGGAUGCCUUGGCACUAGAAGCCGACGAAGGACGUUACUAACGACGAUAUGCUUUGGGGAGCUGUAAGUAAGCUUUGAUCCAGAGAUUUCCGAAUGGGGAA
Molecule: ribosomal RNA, 125 nt
Filed under: Staphylococcus pseudintermedius
Lineage: Bacteria; Bacillati; Bacillota; Bacilli; Caryophanales; Staphylococcaceae
Description: partial 23S ribosomal RNA
Rfam family: Bacterial large subunit ribosomal RNA
Source: RNAcentral